Molecule: transfer RNA, 85 nt
Filed under: Candidatus Desulforudis audaxviator MP104C
Lineage: Bacteria; Bacillati; Bacillota; Clostridia; Thermoanaerobacterales; Desulforudaceae
Rfam family: tRNA
About the family: Transfer RNA (tRNA) molecules are approximately 80 nucleotides in length.
Source: Rfam by way of RNAcentral
GCCGGAGUGGCGGAAUAGGCAGACGCAAGGGACUUAAAAUCCCUCGGGUGUUACACCCGUGUGGGUUCGACCCCCACCUCCGGCA